This 206-nucleotide long non-coding RNA is filed under the name Gossypium barbadense (sea-island cotton). Its description in RNAcentral is "long non-coding RNA (GBAR_LNC019698)". The record is from RNAcentral. Lineage: Eukaryota; Viridiplantae; Streptophyta; Magnoliopsida; Malvales; Malvaceae.
GUUGAACUGGUUGUGAUUUGAAAAUGAUAUGGUUUUUAAUUGCAGGGGGUUUUAUGUAAAAACAAGCAGAAGUGCUGCCGAAAUUUUAAAAAAAAAUUAAAAAAAAUGAAUGAAGUCAAUUAGUAAAAUAUUAUAUGCAUUUAUGAUUUUAUCUUAAUGUGUUUGAUAUUUAUUUAAGAAUUAUUGUAAAUUAUCUGAUAUGUCCG